UUUCCGUCGGUGAACCUGCGGAAGGAUCAUUACUGAGUGAGGGCCCCUCGGGGUCCAACCUCCCACCCGUGUUUAACGAACCUUGUUGCUUCGGCGGGCCCGCCUCACGGCCGCCGGGGGGCAUCUGCCCCCGGGCCCGCGCCCGCCGAAGCCACCUGUGAACGCUGUCUGAAGUAUGCAGUCUGAGACAAUUAUUAAAUUAAUUAAAACUUUCAACAACGGAUCUCUUGGUUCCG
This 236-nucleotide unclassified non-coding RNA is filed under the name plant metagenome. RNAcentral describes it as "partial contains small subunit ribosomal RNA, internal transcribed spacer 1, and 5.8S ribosomal RNA". The record is from RNAcentral.